Molecule: ribosomal RNA, 492 nt
Filed under: uncultured bacterium
Lineage: Bacteria
Description: partial 16S ribosomal RNA
Rfam family: Bacterial small subunit ribosomal RNA
Source: RNAcentral
AGUGAACGCUGGCGGUAGGCCUAACACAUGCAAGUCGAACGGCAGCACAGUAAGAGCUUGCUCUUACGGGUGGCGAGUGGCGGGCGGGUGAGGAAUACAUCGGAAUCUACUUUUUCGUGGGGGAUAACGUAGGGAAACUUACGCUAAUACCGCAUACGACCUACGGGUGAAAGCAGUGGAUCUUCGGACCUUGCGCGAUUGAAUGAGCCGAUGUCGGAUUAGCUAGUUGGCGGGGUAAAGGCCCACCAAGGCGACGAUCCGUAGCUGGUCUGAGAGGAUGAUCAGCCACACUGGAACUGAGACACGGUCCAGACUCCUACGGGAGGCAGCAGUGGGGAAUAUUGGGCAAUGGGCGCAAGCCUGAUCCAGCCAUACCGCGUGGGUGAAGAAGGCCUUCGGGUUGUAAAGCCCUGUUGUUGGGAAAGAAAAGCAGCAGGUUAAUACCCCGCUGUUCUGACGGUACCCAAAGAAUAAGCACCGGCUAACUUCGUG